UACGUAGGGGGCAAGCGUUAUCCGGAUUUACUGGGUGUAAAGGGGGCGCAGACGGCGAUGCAAGCCAGGAGUGAAAGCCCGGGGCCCAACCCCGGGACUGCUCUUGGAACUGCGUGGCUGGAGUGCAGGAGGGGCAGGCGGAAUUCCUGGUGUAGCGGUGAAAUGCGUAGAUAUCAGGAGGAACACCGGUGGCGAAGGCGGUCUGCUGGACAGCAACUGACGCUGAGGCGCGAAAGCGUGGGGAGCAAACAGG
RNAcentral lists this ribosomal RNA (253 nucleotides) under uncultured bacterium. RNAcentral's name for it is "partial 16S ribosomal RNA". It matches the Rfam family "Bacterial small subunit ribosomal RNA", at positions 524 to 776 of the family's 1533-position model. The record is from RNAcentral.